AAGCCCAGCGCAUAAUCUCCCGGGCUACCCAGCCUGCGGCGACAUGUUGCGUAAAGGGAAAGGUCGUUACAAAGCCCUGCACAGCGUGUUCCUAAGUUUGGUUUGAGUGUCCACUGUACCAUUAAUACGGGUGCUAUGGUUCCACAGAGGGUGACAGACCCGUCUGGCCACGAGGACAUGUGCAUGGGUUCGGCUUCUAUUCCCUGAGAGUCGCGUUGCUUGAGCAUGCAGCGCUAAGCAGGACGUAAACUCGUCCUAAGGCUAAAUAUUUCCACAGAACCGAUAGUAAACAAGUACCGUGAGGGAAAGUUGAAAAGCACUCUGAAGAGAGAGUCAAAAGACCGUGAAACCGCUCUGAGUAUAAGCCAAUGGUAUCCUGGAAGGUUGGGACUCAUGCCAGAAGGAUCGGAUUCCUCAAGGAGGAAGAUUCAAAGUGGCAAAAUUCAGUGUGUUGGACAUAUAGAGAGGGCGUGGUGUGGUAGAUGUAACUGACGCGGCAUUGGGUUGCGCGCACCUGACUGAUUAACUCGCGGGUCUCUGACAGUGGUAACAGGGAAAGCCAUUCUUGAGUGGUGGMCCCGAGGCUGGACUUGUGCGAAUGCUCACGCUCUUACACGACACUUAACUGAAUGGUCCAAAUACAACCCACCACAACUCUUUGUAAGGUCACACACGUGAGAUUCGACUUGGUGUGGUGUCAUGCGCGUUUAAGACUGUGGUCGCGAAUUUGGUUUCAACGCUGCCCGCCUACCGCCUACAGGCACAGUGGAACACAGUCCGGCUGACACCCUCGUUUCUAUUCCAGACACGUGUUGUAUGAUCCUAUGCGAAGGUUGCUUUCCUGAUGAUCCUACCUACCUGCAGUACAUCUCAAACUAGUCGAGUGGCUGGGUGGAACUCUUGUUGUGGGAGCCCCGAUGAAGCCUGUACACACCUGGUGUGCGGUGCAGAGGGGCAGCGCUUGAUCGAUCCACCGUUGGUAAGGGAUGAUUGGUGACUUAUUCCAGGGCCAUUGGUCACGUCUCGAAACACGGGCCAAGGAGCAUAGCAUGUGCGCAAGUCAAAGGGUCUCACAAAACCCGGAGGCGAAGUGAAAGCAAAUGGUGUGUCUGUCAGCAGUUUUAUUAUUGCUUGUCAGGCAGCUUGCGGCUAGUGUGUGAUUCCUUGCUGCAUCGUCUGUGGCUUGAUGAUCGCUCUGCUCUGCGGCUUAUACCGAGCUGAUCCCAAGAUAAUGCCCUGUGGCUGUGUCUGGGCGCAAGCUCCAGGCUCUCCAUCAGCGCACCUCUCACGGGGUGUGCGUUGGGAGCACUGUGUAGCGUGCAUGCUAUGACCCGAAAGAUAGUGAACUAUGCCUGGCGAGGGCGAAGCCCCAGGAAACUGGGGUGGAGGCCCGUAGCCGUUGUGACGUGCAAAUCCAUGGUG
RNAcentral lists this ribosomal RNA (1422 nucleotides) under Calliopius ezoensis. RNAcentral describes it as "partial 28S ribosomal RNA". Lineage: Eukaryota; Metazoa; Arthropoda; Malacostraca; Amphipoda; Calliopiidae. The record is from RNAcentral.